RNAcentral lists this ribosomal RNA (400 nucleotides) under uncultured Glomeromycotina. RNAcentral describes it as "SSU rRNA". It matches the Rfam family "Eukaryotic small subunit ribosomal RNA", at positions 569 to 972 of the family's 1831-position model. The record is from RNAcentral. Lineage: Eukaryota; Fungi; Glomeromycota.
AGCAGCCGCGGUAAAUUCCAGCUCCAAUAGCGUAUAUUAAAGUUGUUGCAGUUAAAAAACUCGUAGUUGAAUUUCAGGAUUAAUAUAUUGGUCGUGCCUCCGGUAUGCACUGGUAUUAUUGAUUUCUACCUUCUGACGAACUGUGAUGUCAUUAAUUUGGUAUCAUGGGGAAUCAGGACUGUUACUUUGAAAAAAUUAGAGUGUUUAAAGCAGACACACGCUUGAAUACAUUAGCAUAGAAUAAUGAAAUAGGACAUUUGACCCUAUUUUGUUGGUUUCUAGGGUCGACGUAAUGAUUAAUAGGAAUAGUUGGGGGCAUUAGUAUUCAAUUGUCAGAAGUGAAAUUCUUGGAUUUAUUGAAGACUAACUACUGCGAAAGCAUUUGCCAAGGAUGUUUUCA